CCGACUUCAUUAAUAUACACUAACGUGUAUAUACGGCCGUUUCAAUUUUUGAUUUUCCAUUAGAAAAAAUGUUCCGCCGCCUAGUGCAUAUUGUGGCGCCCUCAAACGACAGAUCUCGUGCUAUUUCUGUCAAAUUAAUUGUCGAGUUGAAACUGACAUUGACAACAAAUUUUACUCGAAGCAUAAAAAAAAGCAGUUUGGUUCAGAUAAUAAGGUUUUUUUUUAAUUUUAUCACAAAACACAGUUUAAAAUUUAAUGCAAAUCUCUUGACAGAAUCUGUGGUCUCCAAGCAAAGAUUGCUGAGAACUGGCUUUACAGUCGUUUUGAUUAUAUAUUUGCACACAGAAUCCCUGUGAUUUGCACAGACGAAAAUGGGAUUUUGCACAAGAAAUGGCAACAUUUGCUGGAUGCUUUCAGCUAUCAGCUGAAUAAUACCAACAAAGAUAUCUUUGGGAUAGACUAAACCUCCUCGGUUUUGAAUGGCAAUCAAUUGUAGCAAAGGACCUGGAAUGCUAGUACAUAAUAGAGGUGUUAAACAUUCAUCACAAUGAAAUAAAUCUUCUAAUUUUUUUAUUAUGUAUCCUGCCAAGAAAGCUACUGAUGCUGAGAAAAUAUUAUUAUCAGCAGUGUUUGAGGAAUGGGAAGCUUUAACAAUCCCACAACGAAGAAUUUGCCUUAAUGCAUAAUCUGCAGCUCUGGCAUCUGUGGCAUCAUUAGAACCACCUUUCAGUCUUACAUGUGAAAACAUGGCCUCUACUGCGUCUGAGCUGAAGGAUCGCGUUACAACAUAAUAGAAGCCAACCUGGCUUAGCAAAAAAUUUACACAGAGUAAGACCUUUAAAUCCAACAUCUACAGAAGUCUUCUGGAUAUCGUCAAUAUACUUCGGAAAUGUGACAUUUAACCAGUCAAGACGUUCAUCUGAAAUAUGCACAUAUGGUGCAAUACUGCUAUCUAGUGAACGAAGAUAGUGAUCUCUGCUUGAAACAUUAUGCACCUGAAAAAAAUGGUACAUGUUUUCCAUAUAGAAUAUAGAGGCAUCAGCGUCUACAAAGCGAUCGUCCCCUGCAGCUUUUAGAAAUUUUAAAGAAGAGGUUACAGUAGGUGAAAAAACUUGGAUUGCUCUUAGGACAUUCAUUUUUUCAAAGUUUGAUGGAAAUAGAUGCUUCUUUGUUAAAUAUCUGACAGGCUUUACUGGCAUUCCCUUCUGCAAAUCAUACAAUAAUUUGAGAGCAUGGCAGAAAUCGAAACUCAAAAAUAGUGGAAUAUGUUCCAGAAUGGGAUGAUUAAUGGAAUUUUUCAGUGAUCCGUUUCCAAAUUUUUUAAAGAGGGCGACAUUUGUUGAAAUAUUGUCUGUAACAAAUCUAAUCACAAUGUAGCCGCAGUUUGUCAGAAGUUGUAAAAUGUUUUUUGUUAAUAAAUAUAAUUCCUGAGUUGUUAACGACGAGUGGAAAAAAUA
Long non-coding RNA from Zophobas morio, 1457 nucleotides. RefSeq lists it as uncharacterized. The record is from RefSeq and is a predicted model, not a curated record. Lineage: Eukaryota; Metazoa; Arthropoda; Insecta; Coleoptera; Tenebrionidae. The transcript has 6 exons.